RNAcentral lists this ribosomal RNA (497 nucleotides) under uncultured bacterium. Its description in RNAcentral is "partial 16S ribosomal RNA". It matches the Rfam family "Bacterial small subunit ribosomal RNA", at positions 28 to 507 of the family's 1533-position model. The record is from RNAcentral.
GAUGAACGCUGGCGGCGUGCCUAAUACAUGCAAGUCGAGCGAACGGACGAGAAGCUUGCUUCUCUGAUGUUAGCGGCGGACGGGUGAGUAACACGUGGAUAACCUACCUAUAAGACUGGGAUAACUUCGGGAAACCGGAGCUAAUACCGGAUAAUAUUUUGAACCGCAUGGUUCAAAAGUGAAAGACGGUCUUGCUGUCACUUAUAGAUGGAUCCGCGCUGCAUUAGCUAGUUGGUAAGGUAACGGCUUACCAAGGCAACGAUGCAUAGCCGACCUGAGAGGGUGGUCGGCCACACUGGAACUGAGGCACGGUCCAGACUCCUACGGGAGGCAGCAGUAGGGAAUCUUCCGCAAUGGGCGAAAGCCUGACGGAGCAACGCCGCGUGAGUGAUGAAGGUCUUCGGAUCGUAAAACUCUGUUAUUAGGGAAGAACAUAUGUGUAAGUAACUGUGCACAUCUUGACGGUACCUAAUCAGAAAGCCACGGCUAACUACGUG